This 552-nucleotide long non-coding RNA is filed under the name Sus scrofa (pig). RNAcentral's name for it is "lncRNA (ENSSSCG00050027473.1)". The record is from RNAcentral. Lineage: Eukaryota; Metazoa; Chordata; Mammalia; Artiodactyla; Suidae.
GCCCUCCAGAUGGUGUCCAUGCCUAUGCCACCUGCCAAGUGGACUUCUGCCCUGAGUGAGUUAGGGCACGUCAUCCUCCCUCCUGGACUUGGCUCCAUCACACAGCUGCCGAGCCUGUCUUGUUCUCAGUUGGCUUUCGGAAUGAAGCCCUGGAGCCAGAAUUGGCCAAGCAAUGGAUAAAGAUGGAGGGAAUGCCUGGCUGGAUCCCUGUGAGCCUGUGGAAGCCAGAGAGGGGGCUCCACCUGAACCGGACCUGCUGCCCCCCCGAUGACCCUGUCUUCACUGCAGAGAGAAUGUCAAGGUGUGAUCACCCCAAAGACCCCCAGAAACCAUCACUGGACCCCCUGACUCUGGCCUUGAAGACUUUCAUCUCUGGAGGGAGAAGACCAUAGACUCCCCAAUCCUUGUCAAAAGCUGUGUUUUUUCAAACUAAACCUGUAAGACCCCUUGCCAUCCCCUCUCAAGGAAGGACAGAGUUUGGAGGACAUUAGCCUGCUGUCACUUCCUUUUCCUGACAAAGCAAUAAAGGCUGUUCUUUCUGCUUCACCCCAA